AUCGAUUUAUUAAACUUGUCUUCGAAAAUGUUUUUUUCUCUCUAUUUAAAUUUAAGAGUUAAUAUAAUUGGUUAAAGUUUUGUGAGGUUGCAUUAGAUUAUUUCGUUAGUUUUUUACAUUGGACAAAGAGAGUAGCCAAUUACCACACAGUCUCAAUUCAACUAACUUAAACAAGAAACAAAAUAAUCCUAAUGAAAUGUUGAAUAUAUAAUUGUUACGGUUAUAAUACUGGUUUCUUUAUAUUUGAUCAUUUUCUUUACAAAAUAACAUGCGAGAGUUUACUCACUGAAUAGUGAAUAGUAAAAUGAAAAAGUAGAAUGAUCUCAUAAUAACAAAAAACAUAAAAGGAUAACAAGAUCUACUUGGUUAAAGUUAAAGGUAUGAAGAAAGUUUGGCCCAUACUACAAACAUAUCAAACAAGAUAGUAGUGUAUGUGUAUUGGUGAAUAGGUUUGAGUAAUUCUCUCUAUAUCUUAGCACUAUAAGUUGCAAUAGUUAUAGAGUAGCAUAUUAUAUGAUUGCCACUCAAACUAAUACACCUCCAAUUCAUAUAGACCAAAGUUUUGGAGUUGUAUAUACAGUUAGUUAAUAAGGUCCCACGUGGAGAGUGAUGAAUCUUGAAAUGUAAAUCAUUAUGUGAUGGAUAUAUGAUGUUAACAAGAAAAACAUCAUGCUAUUAUUAAGAUAAUUAUGUUUUGUUCACAAGAGAAACCAUAUACAAGAGGUACGUUAUAUAUACACUAUGCCUAGUCUGCAUGCAAGUUUCUUUAGCAUUUAAUUCAGUUUCUUACAAAGAAGUUUUGUAACUGAAGUAAUAAGAUAAAUCAACAGCAUUAUUCUAAGGAAUGAUGGAGUAAGAAGAUGAACACACUUGAUCUAUUGUUCAGGGAAUCAUCAACUGGAGAAAUCAUUAGGCUCGGGUGGAGAAUUUUCUGCCUUGAUAUAAUUGUGUUGUUUUUUUUUUUUUGCAAAAAAAUUUCGAUAUAAUUGUGUUGUUCCAAAAAGAAACUAUAUAUACGUCCAAACCAAUAUCAAUAUAAACAAAAUACAUUAUCAUUAUUUUUUUGGUAUAUGCUGAUUUUAUACUUGCGUUUGGUAUAAAUAAACUGUAUAACCACUAACGAACCGAGCAAUUGAAACGGUAGAGACAAAAAAACACACACUUAAGUAGUCAACUAAUUAGAUGAUUAAGCUAAAAUGACAUUUUGCUAAAACCCGAGUUUCUUAUAUUACACGAUAAGAAUAUAAAAGGGGGCGAAAACGCGAGACCUUUAUAAGAAGAAAAAAAAACUGUUCACUUAUCAAAGUUGAAUUCAAAAGCCCCUUUCUUUCUUUCUUCUUCCUUCUCCAUUCGUUCUCGUGGGAGUGGACUCCUUCUGGGUUUUCUUUGUAAAAUCGAUCUACCUCUGGUGUGUAAAAAUGGACGAAAAGAUAGAAACUUCAUCUGGGCCUUCGUCGCAACCGCCAUCGAUUCCUGGGCUUUCCGGCGAGAAGCGCGGUAACGAAGAUGGUUCCGAAGAGAAAGAUGAAUCAGACGUUUGUUUUGGCUAAAGAUGAUGAUAGAUUGGUUACUAACGCUUUGCCCGAGACUCGUACCGUGAAAGAUGUUACUAACUGUGAGACACGAGGAGGAUUACACGUUGAUGAGGUUACUGAAUCCGUUGUUGUUAUCCCACGUGACGCUUCCCUUUCACAUCCUUAUCAAAUGUCAAGCGCACUGAGUCUAUACGGCAGUGGAUGGAAAUGAAGCGGAACGGUUAUCUCUCAGGCCCUUUGGGCGGACAUGUGGCGUCGAGGCAUGUUGAUUCUUCAAACAAGACAAACCAAGUCCCUAAUAAGAAGAAGGACCAGCAUGUUGUUGCUACCGCGCCGCCAAGUCGAUUGCUGGCGGGGUUGAAACCGGGGAUCAUUAAACAUGUCAGGAGUAAAGAAGAGGUCUACUCAUCUCUUGAAGCUUUGAUUCGAGAUUCAGCUAGAGAAGAUAGGGCGUUAGACUCUAAGGUAUCAGAUCAUGCAAUUUCCUUGACAAACACGGAACAAGCCAAGUUGCUUGCUGUUGAAGGUUGGUAGUGCAUUUGAUCAUGUUUCAGUUCUUCUAAAUAAAAGCAGUUAAGAUUACUGAUUAAAGUUAAUCUGGAAGCUGAAGGAUAAAUGUUAGUGUACAUUAUUGCAUGAUGAUGAUUAGCUCAUUGUAGAAGUGGAAACAGGAAUGAAAUGAUUAAAAAGGCAAAAAAAAAAUGUUUAUUUCCUUUUUUUAGCUGCUACUGUUACCAAUAAAAAACAGUUUAGGUUUGUUUAAAAAGGAAAGAAAUUGUUUAUUUCUUUUUUUAGCUGCUAGUGUAGCUUCACAGUGGUUGGAGUUUCUUCACCAAGACCUCAGUGAACGCCUUUCAGGUGCGUCUUUGUAGAAAUGUAGCAGAGAGGCUUCUCAAGUUGACUGAGACCUUAUGAUGAUGUUGUUGCAGCUGUGAAGGAUAGUAGGAAGAGAGUUGAUGAUACUUUGAAGGCGGAGUUGCCACUUCUCGUCUCAUCAUCAAAAGAAUCUUCUUCUAACCAAGAAAGUACCUCUGGUGAUGAAACAGUAACAAAGGCGCAUAAGAUAAAGUGGUCUGCGAAAUUUGAUGAGUUUAAGAAACGUCUCAAUGAUGAAGAGAAAGAUCUUGUGCGUAUAUACAUUAUCUACUGCGUUUUCAAGUCCGAAUGGUUCUUCAGCUCAAGUCGGUGUUUUAAUUUAUUUGAAAUUCGUAGGAAAGCACGUUAAACCACGUGAAGGAUAUGCAGUCACGAUGCAGCGAAGGUUUACGCCAGAUGAAUGAGGCAAGGUGAGGAAAAUUAAGACCAAACAGAAGCGUUUUAAAAAGACAUGGUUUAGUCACCUUUAAUUGUUCUACAAAUACCAUUUGCAGUUGUGGGAAAGAUGGCGAGACUAAUUUGGCGGCUGCAGCUUCCAUUUUCUCGACCUGCCGUUAUCUUCUGUCAAAGAUGAAGCCACCACCUAACAGUUCGUAACCCCUCUUGUUUUUUAUUAACCGGGGAUCGACUAAUAGUGUAAAUAACAGGCGAUUGAUAGUUUUGUCAUUGGUUAACUAACAUUAGAAGAGAUCCUUUGUCACUGGCAUUUGCUUCAGUACACACUAGACUUUUUAAUAUACACUAGACUUUGACCCGU
Molecule: long non-coding RNA, 3168 nt
Organism: Brassica rapa (field mustard)
Lineage: Eukaryota; Viridiplantae; Streptophyta; Magnoliopsida; Brassicales; Brassicaceae
Source: RefSeq, a predicted model, not a curated record